GUGGGGAAUCUUGCGCAAUGGGCGAAAGCCUGACGCAGCAACGCCGCGUGGGGGAUGAAGGCUCUCGGGUUGUAAACCCCUUUCAGCAGGGACGAAUCAAGACGGUACCUGCAGAAGAAGCCCCGGCUAACUACGUGCCAGCAGCCGUGGCAACACGUAGGGGGCAAGCGUUGUCCGGAUUUAUUGGGCGUAAAGAGCUCGUAGGUGGCUGAGUAAGUCGGAUGUCAAAUCCCCAGGCUCAACCUGGGAUCCCAUCCGAUACUGCUCUGAGUAGAGUCCGGUAGGGGAGCGUGGAAUUCCUGGUGUAGCGGUGAAAUGCGCAGAUAUCAGGAGGAACACCAGCGGCGAAGGCGGCGCUCUGGGCCGGUACUGACACUGAGGAGCGAAAGCGUGGGUAGCAAACAGGAUUAGAUACCCUUGUAGUCC
Molecule: ribosomal RNA, 426 nt
Filed under: uncultured bacterium
Lineage: Bacteria
Description: bacterial SSU rRNA
Rfam family: Bacterial small subunit ribosomal RNA
Source: RNAcentral